GCAGCCAUUUUCUCCCUGGAGAGGCUGGAGUGUCCAAAAGCUUGGCCGACUGAGAUUGCUAGUCGUGUCAGGGCGGGUGCGGGACUGAAGAAGGGCGAGGGCGAGCGGCGGGGACUGGGGAAGGGCGAGCAGCGGGAGGCACGGGCUCUCUCUAGCAGGUGGCUGCAGCCAUGGAGAGGCUCUGUGCCGCCGCUGUCAAGGGCCAGACGGGCCCAGAGCGCCCAAGCCCCUUCAGUCAGCUGGUCUACACCAACAACGACUCUUACGUGAUUCACCAUGGGGAUCUCAGGAAGAUCCACAAAGCUGCCUCCCGGGCCAAGCCUGGAAGCUGGAGAGGAUGAUGAAGAAGACGACAAUGGACCUGAACAUAAGAGAUGCGAAGAAGAGGCUGGCCACACACCACUUUUAUUGGCCAUAAGGAAAAGAACAUUCAUCAACAACUUUUGGAAUAUAAACAAAAGAUAUCUAAAAAUUCUCAAAAUAGUAAUCCAGAAGGAACAUCUGAAGGAACACCUGACGAGGCUGCACCCUUGGCGGAAAGAACACCUGACACGGCUGAAAGCUUGGUGGAAAGAACACCUGACGAAUAGGAUACAGUGAAUUCCUCUUCAAAGAUUUUAGCCUGUAAACAUCCUUUAAAAUUCAAGAGGGGGGAAGAUUAAGUACAAUGAGUUCUGAGUUCCUCAUCAAAGAACAAAUAUGUCAGUAUGUUCAGCUUCUCCGUUCUUUGUUCUCCGUUUUAAAGUUUAACUUCCUCGUUCGUUAUGCCUCCUUGCCCCUAGUUUCAUUAAACAACCCCCUUCUAGCCUCUAACACCUGCUUUGUCUUUAGUCAUUCUUAGUAACCUGCUCUGUCCUUAGUCAUCCUUAGACACCUGCUCUGUAACUGUCUUUCCCGCUGAAACUACUCACCCUGCCACUCCAGCUCAUACCCCUGCCCUCUUUGAAAUAGCCAAUCUGAAUUGGCUUAGAGUGUGCAGUCCAACCCUAUCCAAUAGGGAAAAGACACAACAGUAGGGACUAGCUGCGUUAGAAAUAAGAACACUUUCCCCUCCCUUGUCCGGUGUGAUCUUGCCUUUGCUCCAUCUGCAAGACCACUCUUCCA
Molecule: long non-coding RNA, 1104 nt
Filed under: Homo sapiens (human)
Lineage: Eukaryota; Metazoa; Chordata; Mammalia; Primates; Hominidae
Description: HSALNT0402857
Source: RNAcentral